GGCGAGUGAACCGGGAAGAGCUCAAAUUUGAAAUCUGGCGUCCUCAGGGCGUCCGAGUUGUAAUCUAUAGAGGCGUUUUCCGUGCCGGACCGUGUCCAAGUUCCUUGGAACAGGAUAUCAAAGAGGGUGACAAUCCCGUACUUGACACGACGACCGGUGCUCUGUGAUACGUCUUCUACGAGUCGAGUUGUUUGGGAAUGCAGCUCAAAAUGGGUGGUGAGUUCCAUCUAAAGCUAAAUAUUGGCGAGAGACCGAUAGCGAACAAGUACCGUGAGGGAAAGAUGAAAAGCACUUUGGAAAGAGAGUUAAACAGUACGUGAAAUUGUUGAAAGGGAAACGAUUGAAGUCAGUCGUGACCGAGAGGCUCAGCCGGUUCUGCCGGUGUAUUCCCCUCGGUCGGGUCAACAUCAGUUUUGUCCGGUGGAUAAGGGCGGUAGGAAGGUGGCACCCUCGGGUGUGUUAUAGCCUGCCGUCGCAUACAUCGGGUGAGACUGAGGAACGCAGCUCGCCUUUAUGGCCGGGGUUCGCCCACGUCCGAGCUUAGGAUGUUGACAUAAUGGCUUUAAACGACCCGUCUUGAA
RNAcentral lists this ribosomal RNA (581 nucleotides) under Papiliotrema laurentii. Its description in RNAcentral is "partial large subunit ribosomal RNA". It matches the Rfam family "Eukaryotic large subunit ribosomal RNA", at positions 88 to 658 of the family's 3401-position model. Lineage: Eukaryota; Fungi; Basidiomycota; Tremellomycetes; Tremellales; Rhynchogastremaceae. The record is from RNAcentral.